Mus musculus (house mouse) is the source of this 2544-nucleotide long non-coding RNA. RefSeq annotates it as predicted gene, 51424. The transcript is spliced from 5 exons. The record is from RefSeq and is a predicted model, not a curated record. Lineage: Eukaryota; Metazoa; Chordata; Mammalia; Rodentia; Muridae.
UCUUUCCAUAAAAUAAAACUUGUCCUCAGAUAAAAUAAAAUGAAUCCAAAAGGAGAUGGAUUAAAGACAGAAAGAUUGAAUACUUCAGUUUUCCUCUCUGCCAGCUUUUCAGAAUAACGAGUUGCUGCCUGACGUCCUGGGUGUGGUGUGGUGAGGUGGGGGCACCGGCACAGUUCAGAGUCCUUUCACUUCUGACACUUGCACUCGGAGUCUCAGAUUGGCUCUCUUUGUUCUUUGACGUGGUCCUUCUGAUCAUUCAAGACACUGUGGGAUUCAGGCUCUUCCUUCAUUUGCCUUGGAUGGUCUCCAGAUGCUGCUCCAGGUACCCCUGGCUCCUGCUAGUGACAAGGGUUAUAGGAGGCCGUGCUCUGGGCAUCUGGUUUUCCAUGGUAUUGGCUGGAUGAUCAUGAUGGCAGGAGGACUUCUCAAGAAGGUGGGAGAGCCAUCGGCCAGAUAAUCAAGGUAUUAAGCUGGUGCUCUCAGACAUGCCAGUGUACCAAGCAUCGCCAUUCCACACACACAAAGACAAACUCAAUGGUAUUGCGAUCCAACUCAAUCAACGUCAAACUGAAUGGUUACACAAGGUGAAAGGUUAAGGUUCAUGUGUAUACCCCAGAAGUCGGCCUCUGAUGUUGUUCCUCCGGAGCUCUGUCUUGCUUACUGAGACAGAUUCUCUCACCUAGCAUAUGCAGCUUGCCCAUUAGACUACUCAGGGAUGCCAGCAAGGCCUAGAGAUCUUCCUGUUCCUGCCCAGCCCCCAACCCAGUGCAAGAAUCACAGGUGCCCACCGCCAUGCAUAAGGAUUAGAAUAUCAAACUCGGAUUCUUUUGCAGCAAGUCUCUGACUAACUGAGUCAUUGCCCAGCCUACAGGGACUUCUUUAAAUACACAGUAUAUGCUGAAUAUUCUUAAUUAUUCAGGAAGUGAAAAACCGUCAGCUGCUAAAACAACUACUUACCAUAGUAGCAUGUACAUCAUAAUGCUUAUUUGGUUGAAAGACAAGCCUUCAAAUGAAUACUGCUUCCAGGUAAGGCCAGCUCUGCACAGGUAUUUAGACGUGUUGGGGAUCUUGAUGCUUCUCCACUGUCUGGAGUGAUGGUGAGGGAUUCAGGAUUAAAAAUGGUGAGAUGCAACAACAUGAAACCAGAAUGCACACGUUCCAGGUCAAAUAUUUUCUUUUGAAAUAUCUAAACAGAUGAAUCUCCAGAGACAUAGAACAAAGCUGGCUCACCUAGAAAACUGGUUCAGUAGUAACUUCCAACCAAAAGUUUCUUAUAAGACUUCAGAUGAAUACUUUGAGACUUCUAAGCCCGACACAUGUCACCUAAACAGCAGUCAAUGAACUGAGCUGAUGUCAUGUCAAUUUUCAGGCUGCUUGCCUCUUAUUAUCUUGUCACAGAAAUUAGAAAAUGACAACCAUCUUGCUCUCCUGUGGACGACUUAUUAAAAACCCAGGAUGAAGAGGCUCUGUCAUUAUUCCUUGUGUCGUGGUAAAUAAAGGCAGUGCCCUGAUAUUCUCCCAAAGAGCCUUGUACACCAGCACAUUAAUAAAUCAAUCAUCCCAGGUCUCCUGUGUAGCACUUCCCUGUCACUGCUCCACAGAAGACAUGCUUAAAUUCUGGCCAAGCUGGCAUUACAUUUGACAGGAUCUAACGUUGCUUUAAUAUUCUGUGUCCAUAAAUAUACACAGCAAAUGGACGGGGAUUGCUCACUUCCAAUAUACCCAAUGGAUUUUCAGACUCGAGUGACACUCCAGCAAGAAAGAUUUCAUCUGAACUGACUUGAUAUUGAAAUCCGCAAAUGCCCUUGCUCUCAAAUUGUGCAGCUUGUUUCUGGGCACCAGUUUCUUUCUUUACACUAUAAAAGCUCUUUAGCCCACUAGUUCAUUCUUCACUGAACAGCCACCACCUUGAGCUGCUUCCUGUGGCAUAUCAAUGGUUUUAUUCUCUUGCUCAGUGAGUUUUACACUCCCAUUCUCUUAAACUGUGCAUGAAGUUCCUACAAGCAUAAGAAUGACUGACACAAAGACAUCACUGUUGUUUUCUGCUGCCACGCCAGGACACCGCAGCUUAGGUCACUGAAUCAAUGUCCCCUCAAAUUCUGCACUCUGAGAUCCAAAGACUAGGAGCUAGCAUUUGGUGAGGACCCUUUUCACUGGUUUACCACAUGGAGGAGGAUACCAAACAGCUGGCGAUAGCAAAGGUACCAGCUCAGGUGUCUUGUCUUCAUCUCUUAAAGCCACAGAUGCCAUCAUGGUGGCCUCACCCUGCUCAUCACAUCUAAGCUUAACAUCUCCCAACAUCUGCUCACCAAUGCUUUCAACAUCCAUAGCUGAAGAAAACAGGUUAGUGUUUAAAAGUAUAUCGCAACCAUGGCAACCAUAGCAGAUGUGAAAUUAUGUCUUCCCAAGCUAGCCAUGGAAGCUGGCCAUGGACUGGUAUCCCAGAGAAGGAGCAUUAAGGAUUUUGUGAGAGCAAUUAGUUCUUCUCCUUCUCCUUCUCCUUCUCCUUCUCCUUCUCCUUCUCCUUCUCCUUCUCCUUCUUCU